AUGAACGCUGGCGGCGUGCCUAAUACAUGCAAGUCGAGCGAACGGACGAGAAGCUUGCUUCUCUGAUGUUAGCGGCGGACGGGUGAGUAACACGUGGAUAACCUACCUAUAAGACUGGGAUAACUUCGGGAAACCAGAGCUAAUACCGGAUGAUAUUUUGAACCGCAUGGUUCAAAAGUGAAAGACGGUCUUGCUGUCACUUAUAGAUGGAUCCGCGCUGCAUUAGCUAGUUGGUAAGGUAACGGCUUACCAAGGCAACGAUGCAUAGCCGACCUGAGAGGGUGAUCGGCCACACUGGAACUGAGACACGGUCCAGACUCCUACGGGAGGCAGCAGUAGGGAAUCUUCCGCAAUGGGCGAAAGCCUGACGGAGCAACGCCGCGUGAGUGAUGAAGGUCUUCGGAUCGUAAAACUCUGUUAUUAGGGAAGAACAUAUGUGUAAGUAACUGUGCACAUCUUGACGGUACCUAAUCAGAAAGCCACGGCUAACUACGUG
This 496-nucleotide ribosomal RNA is filed under the name uncultured bacterium. RNAcentral describes it as "partial 16S ribosomal RNA". It matches the Rfam family "Bacterial small subunit ribosomal RNA", at positions 29 to 507 of the family's 1533-position model. The record is from RNAcentral.